This 211-nucleotide long non-coding RNA is filed under the name Panax ginseng (ginseng). Its description in RNAcentral is "long non-coding RNA (PGIN_LNC006177)". The record is from RNAcentral. Lineage: Eukaryota; Viridiplantae; Streptophyta; Magnoliopsida; Apiales; Araliaceae.
AAGGAAUUACAUUUGCUGCCUUACCAUCGGCAGGUUUUGAAGAUGGCUUUGGAGUUCAAAAAAAUCUCAUUUCUACAUGUUCCUCGUAAUAGGAAUGACUUUGCGGACGCAUUAAAAACUUUGGCCUCCCUGAUUCGCAUAUUAGACAAAGAACAUUUGCCGAGCGUCACAAUUUCCCUGCACAAGGCCCAAGCCUAUGGGAAUUACGUUG